AACACUUCAUGCCUUUAGAAUUUAAGAAUUGAUAUAUUUUAGAAAUUACAUUUACGAUCACUCGAACACCUCAAUAAAUUUAACAUUUGAUAAUUUAAUUAAAUAUGUCAUUAUUUAUAAAAUAUAAAUGAUAAUAUCAAACUACACAAAUAAAGUAUUCGUAACCAAUACCCUCCUAGUUUUCUAUACUCUCUUGCUCGCUCUCAUAUCCUUUCAUAUAGCCUAGUUUGCUGAUUUAACAUCGGACCUCAAAGUAUUAUCUCCGGCGUUCCCAACCUUUUCUCUCCGUGACAAGUCAUUUUUAUCAUCUUUCUCAAUAUCUUGCAAAUUCAUUUUUCAAAUAGAGAGAAGUUACGUGAACAAAAAUUAUGAAAUGAAACGACAUUUUGAAAGUUAUGAGUUAGAAUUUUUAGACUAAAG
Molecule: long non-coding RNA, 420 nt
Filed under: Durio zibethinus
Lineage: Eukaryota; Viridiplantae; Streptophyta; Magnoliopsida; Malvales; Malvaceae
Description: long non-coding RNA (DZIB_LNC001719)
Source: RNAcentral